UGGGGAAUUUUGCACAAUGGGGGAAACCCUGAUGCAGCGACGCCGCGUGAUUUAGAAGGCCUUCGGGUUGUAAAAAUCUUUUCUAUGGGAAGAAAAUGACAGUACCAUAGGAAUAAGGACUGGCUAAUUACGUGCCAGCAGCCGCGGUAAUACGUAAGGUCCGAGCGUUGUCCGGAAUCAUUGGGCGUAAAGGGUACGUAGGCGGAUAAGCAAGUUAGAAGUGAAAUCCUAUAGCUCAACUAUAGUAAGCUUUUAAAACUGCUCAUCUUUAGGUAUGGAAGGGAAAGUGUAAUUCCUAGUGUAGCGGUGAAAUGCGCAGUAAUUAGGAGGAAUACCGGUGGCGAAUGCGACUUUCUGGCCAUAUACUGACGCUGAGGUACGAAAGCGUGGGUAGCAAACAGG
Molecule: ribosomal RNA, 402 nt
Filed under: Verrucomicrobiota bacterium
Lineage: Bacteria; Pseudomonadati; Verrucomicrobiota
Description: Verrucomicrobia bacterium partial 16S ribosomal RNA
Rfam family: Bacterial small subunit ribosomal RNA
Source: RNAcentral